This 208-nucleotide long non-coding RNA is filed under the name Setaria viridis. RNAcentral describes it as "long non-coding RNA (SVIR_LNC006003)". Lineage: Eukaryota; Viridiplantae; Streptophyta; Magnoliopsida; Poales; Poaceae. The record is from RNAcentral.
CUCAUGUUUCAUUAAAUACAAAUCAAUUCCUUAACUAACUAAAUCGGUGUAUUUAUCAUCCUCACCUUAGUUUAACAAUGAUUUAGUAUCAUAUAACAUUGGUUUAUGCCAUUUAAUUAUUUUAUUAGCCAUGUCUAUUUUUGAAUCAAUCUCUAUAAUAGUUCCGUGUGAAUUAAAUCCGUUAUUUUUUUCUGAUAUAUGUUUCCUG